RNAcentral lists this long non-coding RNA (875 nucleotides) under Elaeis guineensis (African oil palm). Its description in RNAcentral is "long non-coding RNA (EGUI_LNC001613)". Lineage: Eukaryota; Viridiplantae; Streptophyta; Magnoliopsida; Arecales; Arecaceae. The record is from RNAcentral.
UCUAUCUUCCAAUAGUAAAAUAGAUUUCAAUUAGUUCAACAAGCACAGUGAUUAUUUCCAAGAUCCCAUAGGUCAAAUCUUCUGCUCCCGCUCCAAUUAUUAUUCCUAUGAUGUUUGUUAUUAACUCUAAUUUAUAAUCUUCCUUCCCAGUACCAAUUAUAAAUCGAAAUCAAUCAAGUACCAAAGAUAAUAAUACUUAAAAGCAUUAAGCACAAAUAACAAACAAUUGCAUUAACAAAAAAAUUAAUACAAGAUUCUGGAAUUGAAAUUAAAUUCAAGCUACAUCAGGUACCCUAGCUAGAAAUUUAGCUUUUCAUCAUAACAAAAUCAAACUCAAGUUUACUUGAAUAAAACUUCAAAAUCAUCCUAACAAUGAGUUUUAGAAAAUAAAUUCAAAGUAAACAAGAGAAAGAAAAAACUCUGAAGGAAUUGCAGAGCCGAAUGAAUCUUCUCUUCAAAUCUUCCAGAUACUCCAAACUCUCCUUGCUUGAUUUCUAGCUUUCAAAAAUGAUUCUCCUCCUCUUGCUGGUGUUUUAGGAUCCUUAAAUAGGGCUAGGGCUAGGGUUAAGAUGGUAUUUUUUUUCAUAAUUUUAUUCUAUAUAUCAUUCUUUCUAUUUGGUAUAGAAUCUCUCCUCCUUUGGAUAGGCUUUAAGCAACCACCAGCCAUCUACUCCUUAUGCUGCCCAAAUUUUCUGAUUUUAUUAUGAUUUCCAUAAUAAAAAAAGGAAAGGAGGCAUGGUUAAUUAGAGGAGAAAAAUUUCUUCCUUCCUGGGUCCACAAAAUCUGCAAAAUAAAGUAAGGUUUCGGCUGCCCAAAUCAAGUUUUUCAAGAAUUGGUUCCAAUUCUUUCUAAGUUUGCUCCUCAUGCAAAAUUAG